UUUCUCCCUUAGUGAAGUAACACUUCAUUG
Molecule: non-coding RNA, 30 nt
Filed under: Mus musculus (house mouse)
Lineage: Eukaryota; Metazoa; Chordata; Mammalia; Rodentia; Muridae
Source: RNAcentral